CCGACCUUAGCUCAGUUGGUAGAGCGGAGGACUGUAGAUCCUUAGGUCGCUGAUUCGAAUCCGGCAGGUCGGA
Nelumbo nucifera (sacred lotus) is the source of this 73-nucleotide non-coding RNA. The record is from the annotation of a RefSeq genome assembly. NCBI's taxonomy places the organism in Eukaryota, Viridiplantae, Streptophyta, Magnoliopsida, Proteales, Nelumbonaceae.